UAUCAAGUUUUUUUGUUGGGACUUAUCUUUUGUUGGGUCAUUUAGGUUCUGGACUCUGAAGUGUGAUCCCUUUAAUCACUCCCUCUCUCUGUCUUCUGAAUCUCUCCCUUUCCGUAAAAAAUAAUUCAUGGAGCUUUGGAUUUCUUCAAUAUGUAUUUGUAUUUGGUUAGAUCACCAUGUGUUUUCAGGUUUUCGUUCUUUACUUGAUGGAGUUUUGUAGGUUUAGAUAGAGCUUUUAGGCUUUUGGAGAAGAAGGAAAAGAUGGAAGGAAAAACUUAGAAGAGAAAAACCGAGUUUGCGUUUUUUUUUUUCUUCCUACUCUCUUCUGGUGAGUUUCUUAUCUUCCUCUUCCUUCGUCAAUCUUCCAAUUUCAGUUCUCUGUCUUGUCGAUUUUGGUGCAGAUUGUGUUCCAGAGAUUUCAUCCAGGCUACAUCUCUAGCUUGAAGCUAGUUUGCUCGAUCAGAUCCGAGGGUUGAUGCAUUUGUGAAGAUUUUUUGGUUGCACAUUUCUAUCUUGUGAGCUACAAGAUGAAGAUGAAUUUCUGUAAAAUAUGCUGAAGAGGCUCACCAAGUCAUGGUGGGGUAGUUUGGAAAGCAUCUCUAGUAAGUUUUUCUAAUUGUGAUUAUCUUUUGUUUUGUUUUGAAUAGGUUCUGAAUAUAAAAUUAGUUCUUGUUGGCUGUGUUUCUUGGUGUUGGUAACUUAACUCAUUUACGAUUAUGUAUGUUUAAUUCAUCUUAGUCUUGCAAGUGUGGACCUUUAUAACGUUUUGCAUAGAUGCUUACAUUCUUUCACGUGUGAAAACCAGCUCGACCAGAGAUGAUACUUACUUGACCUUGAUUGUUACAUGUAUACAACUUAUCCACUUACAUAAAAUGAAUUUUUAUCACAAUUCAACAUUUUACGAGUCCUAAUUUUUUUUAAAAUUAAAAUUAUAAAACAGAAAUGACAAGUGUGUUUCUUUCUUUAAUGUAAAGAAUAAAAAGUACUUCUUAUUUCCUUCCUUUUAUUAUAGAGAUUUCUUUGCAUUAAAACCAUAUCUUUGCGAAAACGUGUUGUGAGGCUCGCUAACGUGCACUGCCUGACUAAAAAGGACCUGAAGAAAGCCUGUCUCUGCGUCGCUGGUGAAGCUUGUCACGCCGGCGGAUGGCUCCCACUAUAGAUUACCAUUGUUAACCUUUGGAAGCUUCCUUCCUUCUCAAUUUCAAUCCAUCCCGGAGAAGACUGAAAGAGGGGAAUCUGACAUAGACUCGCAAAAAUCAAUUCGACUACAUGGAUUUGAGGACUCUAAUGCCUCGCCAACAGCUCGUCGGAUGAAAUUUUCUGAAGCUCCUACCUCAGCCCAUCCUACUCCAACUGAGAAGAUGGAUUUUCAUGAGAAUCGGCUAGCUCAACGAAAAUUGGCAAAUUGAUUUCGAAUUCAACCCUGAUUGCUUGACUACUAUCCCUCUAUGGGUGACCUUUCCUGGGUUGCCAGUGAGAUAUUGGUCUACUGUGGGGGUAACCUCUUUACACUGAUAAGUAUAUAGAUGUUAUGGAACGUAUCUCUUAUGCUAGAGUCCUAGUUAAAACUGAUGUGUCACAACCUCUUAUGGAUUUUAUUGAGAUAACUACUCCCUCAGGCAUCAUAAACCAAGCUGUUGAUUAUGAUUAGCGACCCAAAUUUUGCACUCACUAUAUCAGAUUUGGUCACACUUUAGAGGAUUCUUUGGAUGGGAGGAAGGGAGGUCAAGCAGGAUGAAUAUGAAGAAGUACCUAGAAGAAGAAGUAUGAAGAAGUACCUAGAAGAAGAAGAAGGAGAAACAGGAGAAGAAGAAGAAGACAACCUAGGUAAUAUUGGUUGGCUAGAAAUGGUGCCCCAAUGCCUCAAACAACUGAUGACACCAACCUCCCUACUGAUGUGGAACCACAAGAACCACUAGUACAGGAUAGAGGUAAAGAGAAGUGUCUAGAUGAAGAUCAGCUAUUGUCUCAAGCCACUGAUCAUACACAAGAGCUGCAGGAAGCUAUAGUUCCUACUAGUAAUAAUUCUGAUACACAAGGGUGAACACUUGCUACAACUAUCCAAUGGCACCAAAUGGCAAAGUUUGGCUAUUUUGGAAGCCUCAUUUACAGGUACAUAUCAUACUGAAGGAGGAACAGCUCAUCCAUUGCAAAUUAGAGGACUCAACUACCUCUUUUUCUACUUAUCUUAGUAUUGUUUAUGCCAAGAAUAUAGCUCAGGAGAGGACUAGUCUAUGGUCUAACUUGAGUUGAGCUCUAAUAUACAAGAUACUUGGCUUAUUGCUGGAGGUUUUCACACCAUGUUGUCCUCUGAGGAUAGGUUGGGAUCACUAGUUACACUUCUUUGAAACUCAAGACUUUAGGGACUGUGUUGAUAUUCUUCAGUUCACACCACCAAAGGCAAAAGGGUGGAAUUUCACCUUCUGCAACAAGCAACAGAAUGAUGCAAGAGUAUACUCAAAGAUAGACUAGGCAAUGGACAAUUUUAUUUGGAUGCAAAAUUAUGGGCAAGUGGAAGCUAACUACCUUAAUCCUGGGGCCUCAGAUUAUUCUCCUAUUUUUAUAGAAUAUAGGCCCCAAGUGAACUUGCAUCCUAAGCCUUUCAAACUAUUCAUGAUUGUUAUGAAACAUCCAGACUUCAGAGGGAUCCUUAGCUCUUCAUAGGCUAAAUACUAUAGUGGCACUCACAUGUUUAGGCUGAAUCAAAAGCUAAAGCACUUGAAGGAUAACUUGAGAAAUCUCAACUCUUAUACGGCCUCCUAUGAACAGAAGCUUAGCCGUGUUAGGCAGCUACUUGAGAUUACUCAGGCAAAGCUUUCAUCAGACCCUCUGAACUAGUUAAUUAUUGAAGAAGAAAAGAAGUGGAGUCUAGAAAUGCAUAAAUAGAGUAGUGUAGAGGAAUCAACACUCAAACAAAAAUCUAGAGCAUGCUGGAUUGCAAAUGGAGAUUCAAAUUCCAAGUAUUUUCAUGCUCAAUGUAAACUCAGAGCUAACAGAAAUAAUAUUGCUUCUAUUUAUGAUGAAGCUGGUGCCGAGCUUACUGACCCUA
This is a long non-coding RNA of Lycium ferocissimum, 3049 nucleotides long. RefSeq lists it as uncharacterized. The record is from RefSeq and is a predicted model, not a curated record. Lineage: Eukaryota; Viridiplantae; Streptophyta; Magnoliopsida; Solanales; Solanaceae. The transcript has 4 exons.